RNAcentral lists this ribosomal RNA (648 nucleotides) under Triticum aestivum (bread wheat). Its description in RNAcentral is "partial small subunit ribosomal RNA". The record is from RNAcentral. Lineage: Eukaryota; Viridiplantae; Streptophyta; Magnoliopsida; Poales; Poaceae.
AUGUUUUUGGCUCAUAAAGUGAUAGCUGGGAGUGAAGAUGACUGCUACGUUUUAUCGCUGGGCUCCGGCCAGCCGCCCAGGAACAUCGGGCCGGAGCAAGCGCAUAAACUGAUAUCUGACACCAAGUCUGUACUAUUCCGUGGUAGAUUGCAUUGGUACCGGGUGCAGGAGAAGGUCAAUAACAACAUGAUAAUUGUGUUUGACAUCACAGCCGAGUCAUUCCGGCAGAUGCAUGUUCCUGUUCGUGGUUGCUCUGGUGAUGACCUGUUUGAGAUGGAUGGCAUGCUUGGCAUGUCCAGCUUCAGAGACACAUGGACAACCAUUGAUAUCUGGGUGUUGCAGGACUAUGAAAGCGAGGUCUGGACCAUCAAGUGCAAGAUUAAGUUGCCGCUUAUGGAGACCAGGGCAUGGUGUGGAAAGGAUGAUGAAUUAUGCGAGCUGGUGGUUGUGCCUGGAGAUCAUGAGCUGCUCGUGCUGAUCAAAUUUGCCGAGUGGCUAUUUCAGGUUGGCAUGGAUGGCAAGUUGGUCGCCACUUUCCAUCGCAAAGGCGUCCGCCCUACUCAAUUUCAGCUCAAACAAGCUCUUGUUCAGCAUGACUUCUUUCCAACACUACAGGGUUAUGUUGUGAACGAUUUUCCUUUCAUCUGA